This 253-nucleotide ribosomal RNA is filed under the name uncultured bacterium. RNAcentral describes it as "partial 16S ribosomal RNA". It matches the Rfam family "Bacterial small subunit ribosomal RNA", at positions 524 to 776 of the family's 1533-position model. The record is from RNAcentral.
UACGUAGGGGGCUAGCGUUGUCCGGAAUCAUUGGGCGUAAAGAGCGUGUAGGCGGCCCGGUAAGUCCGCUGUGAAAGUCGGGGGCUCAACCCUCGGAUGCCGGUGGAUACUGUCGGGCUCGAGUACGGAAGAGGCGAGUGGAAUUCCUAGUGUAGCGGUGAAAUGCGCAGAUAUCAGGAGGAACACCUAUUGCGAAGGCAGCUCGCUGGGACGUUACUGACGCUGAGACGCGAAAGCGUGGGGAGCAAACAGG